ACAGAAAGUAAAGAUACUUAUUCAUUGAAAGCGGCUCUAUGCCACUUGAGAGGAUGCAACUUAUAUCGCAAAAAAAAAUUUUCACUUCCACCUUGAAAACAAGGUGGCUUCUAGAGGGUGGAUUAAUAAUGGGCCCCAUGUUUAGUUCUCAUUUAUUAGAAAGUCCGGUAAAGAGAUGUAUUAAUAAAAAAGAACAUAAACAAAAGCUAAUGAAGUCUGAAUGCGCGAGUUGGUUUGCAGGUGCCAGGCUUUUGGGCAAUUUAGAUAACAAGAUAGAUGGAUGAUGUUUUAUUGCCAUCGCCAUCUUUUACAUGGAAGAAUCAUUUUAGAUACGAGGAUGGGAAAGAGAAAAUACGAAAGAGAGGCAAUGUUUAUUAGGGUUGAGAAAGCGGGACAAUCCAAGACAGUUGGAUUGAGAGAGGUGAUGUAGUAGUCAGGUGCUUUCCCUUUGCUUUUUUAUUAUCUGUCAGCUUAACAAAAGUCUAUAUCAAGAUGAAUUUUUAGAAGAUGCGUCCAAAAACCCAAAUUGGAGUUUGGUUUUUACAACUUCCAAACAAGAAAGUGUUAAAUGGUGAAAGAACCGAUCAAACCCCAAUAAUUAGAUCAAACUCAAAAGCUAACCAGUGUAUGCCCUUAGAAGAUCAAUGCCAUUUAUCAACUCGGGAAGAACAGUAAAAAUAUUUUCACAAAUUAUCACUGCUCAUAAGUCAUAACAAACAAUGGGCAUUUCAGUAAUUUACAGCACUAUUGCUUUUCCAUAAGCUCCAAUAUGCACAAACAAUAUGAAGCAAGAGGCGUAUUUGCAAAUAAACCAAUAAUGAAACAAUUUUGUACAAUGGAGC
This 842-nucleotide long non-coding RNA is filed under the name Cucumis sativus (cucumber). RNAcentral's name for it is "long non-coding RNA (CSAT_LNC002268)". Lineage: Eukaryota; Viridiplantae; Streptophyta; Magnoliopsida; Cucurbitales; Cucurbitaceae. The record is from RNAcentral.